Molecule: ribosomal RNA, 550 nt
Filed under: Leptodactylus fuscus A
Lineage: Eukaryota; Metazoa; Chordata; Amphibia; Anura; Leptodactylidae
Description: partial 16S ribosomal RNA
Rfam family: Bacterial large subunit ribosomal RNA
Source: RNAcentral
ACCUAUAAGAGGUCCAGCCUGCCCAGUGACUUUGUUCAACGGCCGCGGUAUCCUAACCGUGCGAAGGUAGCGUAAUCACUUGUUCUUUAAAUGAGGACUAGUAUGAAUGGCACCACGAAGGUUAUACUGUCUCCUUUUUCUAAUCAGUGAAACUAAUCUUCCCGUGAAGAAGCGGGAAUAAAAAUAUAAGACGAGAAGACCCUAUGGAGCUUUAAACAAUUAUACAAUUGCCUCCCCUAAUAAAAAUUUCAGAAAAGACACUUCUAUUUAGGCAUUUUGAUAUAAAGUUUUAGGUUGGGGUGACCACGGAGUAAAAAACAACCUCCGCAGUGAAAGGGGCUUUCCCCUAAGCCAAGGGCUACAACCCUAAGAAUCAAUAAAUUGACACUAAUUGACCCAAUUAAUUGAUCAAUGAACCAAGUUACCCUAGGGAUAACAGCGCAAUCCACUUCAAGAGCCCCUAUCGACAAGUGGGUUUACGACCUCGAUGUUGGAUCAGGGUAUCCUAGUGGUGCAGCCGCUACUAAUGGUUCGUUUGUUCAACGAUUAA